Y RNA from Pongo abelii (Sumatran orangutan), 113 nucleotides. It matches the Rfam family "Y RNA". From Rfam's summary of the family: Y RNAs are components of the Ro ribonucleoprotein particle (Ro RNP), in association with Ro60 and La proteins. The Y RNAs and Ro60 and La proteins are well conserved, but the function of the Ro RNP is not known. The record is from Ensembl. NCBI's taxonomy places the organism in Eukaryota, Metazoa, Chordata, Mammalia, Primates, Hominidae.
GGCUGGUCCAAAGGCAAUGAGUUAUCUCAAUUGGUUGUUUACAGUCAAUUACAGAUCAAACUCCUUGUUCUACUCUUUUCCCAUCACUCACUACUGCACUUGACUAGUCUUAA